UACAGAGGGCUCAAGCGUUGUUCGGAUUCAUUGGGCGUAAAGGGUGCGUAGGUGGCGCCAUAAGUCGGGUGUGAAAUCUCGGGGCUUAACUCCGAAACUGCAUUCGAUACUGUGGUGCUCGAGGACUGGAGAGGAGACUGGAAUUCAUGGUGUAGCAGUGAAAUGCGUAGAGAUCAUGAGGAAGACCAGUGGCGAAGGCGGGUCUCUGGGCCGAUACUGACGCUGAGGAGCGAAAGCGUGGGGAGCGAACAGG
RNAcentral lists this ribosomal RNA (253 nucleotides) under uncultured bacterium. Its description in RNAcentral is "partial 16S ribosomal RNA". It matches the Rfam family "Bacterial small subunit ribosomal RNA", at positions 524 to 776 of the family's 1533-position model. The record is from RNAcentral.